Molecule: ribosomal RNA, 305 nt
Filed under: uncultured bacterium
Lineage: Bacteria
Description: bacterial SSU rRNA
Rfam family: Bacterial small subunit ribosomal RNA
Source: RNAcentral
GAUGAACGCUAGCGGCAGGCCUAAUACAUGCAAGUCGAGGGGCAGCACGGGUAGCAAUACCUGGUGGCGACCGGCAAACGGGUGCGGAACACGUACAGAACCUUCCUUUAAGCGGGGGAUAGCCCGGAGAAAUCCGGAUUAAUACCCCAUAAGAUUAUAUAGUGGCAUCACUUAGUAUAAUUAAAGAUUUAUCACUUAAAGAUGGCUGUGCGCCUGAUUAGGUAGUUGGUGCGGGUAAUGGCCCACCAAGCCAACGAUCAGUAACUGGUGUGAGAGCACGACCAGUCACACGGGCACUGAGACAC